CGGCGAGUGAAGCGGGAUGAGCUCAAGCUUAAAAUCUCCAUGUAAAUUUUGCAUGGCGAAUUGUAGUCUAUAGAAGCGUGAUUAGCGUAGGCACUUGGGGUAAGUUCCUUGGAAGAGGACAGCAUCGAGGGUGAUACUCCCGUUUUUCCCCGAGUUGCUUAUGCGUACAAUCCGUUUUCUUUGAGUCGCGUUGUUUGAGAAUGCAGCGCAAAGUAGGUGGUAAAUUCCAUCUAAAGCUAAAUAUUGGUGCGAGACCGAUAGCAUACAAGUACCGUGAGGGAAAGAUGAAAAGAACUUUGAAAAGAGAGUUAAAGAGUACCUGAAACUGCUGAAAGGGAACCAAAUCGUUUCCAGUGUUCAUAAUCCUUGGUAUAUUUCAUUGGCGAAUGUGUGCGUGCGUGUACUAUGGCAGCGGCUUUUUGCUGCGCCUUGUGUGUGUGUUGCAUUUUCUUGCCGAUGCUCUGUACCGUGGUGGGACGUCAUUGUCGGUUCGUAAACUGCGGGAAAUGACUGCCGAGGAGGUAGGGCGAACGCUUGCGUUUGUCUGUUAUAUCUUGGCGGACGUAGUAGUCGCGGUUGGGACUGAGGUGCCUACAAUGUGCUAAUGAGUGGGAUCGAUUCUCCUUUUGCGCUGUGUGCGAAUAGCUUGCUAUGCGCGUGUGGCUGCGUGUGGAUUGA
RNAcentral lists this ribosomal RNA (678 nucleotides) under Bremia ovata. RNAcentral describes it as "LSU rRNA". It matches the Rfam family "Eukaryotic large subunit ribosomal RNA", at positions 87 to 634 of the family's 3401-position model. The record is from RNAcentral. Lineage: Eukaryota; Oomycota; Peronosporomycetes; Peronosporales; Peronosporaceae.